RNAcentral lists this ribosomal RNA (363 nucleotides) under Klebsiella sp. CB9. Its description in RNAcentral is "bacterial SSU rRNA". It matches the Rfam family "Bacterial small subunit ribosomal RNA", at positions 1 to 361 of the family's 1533-position model. The record is from RNAcentral. Lineage: Bacteria; Pseudomonadati; Pseudomonadota; Gammaproteobacteria; Enterobacterales; Enterobacteriaceae.
AAAACAAAGAGUUUGAUCCUGGCUCAGAUUGAACGCUGGCGGCAGGCCUAACACAUGCAAGUCGAGCGGUAGCACAGAGAGCUUGCUCUCGGGUGACGAGCGGCGGACGGGUGAGUAAUGUCUGGGAAACUGCCUGAUGGAGGGGGGAUAACUACUGGAAACGGUAGCUAAUACCGCAUAACGUCGCAAGACCAAAGUGGGGGACCUUCGGGCCUCAUGCCAUCAGAUGUGCCCAGAUGGGAUUAGCUAGUAGGUGGGGUAAUGGCUCACCUAGGCGACGAUCCCUAGCUGGGUCUGAGAGGAUGACCAGCCACACUGGAACUGAGACACGGUCCAGACUCCUACGGGAGCAGCAGUGGGAAU